GGUGGCUCAGCGGUAGAGCGCUUGCCUUGAAUGCAUGAGGCCCUGGGUUCGAUUCCUCAGUACCA
Molecule: transfer RNA, 65 nt
Filed under: Dipodomys ordii (Ord's kangaroo rat)
Lineage: Eukaryota; Metazoa; Chordata; Mammalia; Rodentia; Heteromyidae
Rfam family: tRNA
About the family: Transfer RNA (tRNA) molecules are approximately 80 nucleotides in length. Their secondary structure includes four short double-helical elements and three loops (D, anti-codon, and T loops).
Source: Rfam by way of RNAcentral